CAAGCUUUAUACUGAUUGCAACAGGUUUGGAGCAAUUAACCUAAUAAGUGACAACUAAUUCCAAACCGAUGAGAAAGUAAUACGUGAGUUCUCGAUAUUAUAUAAUACUACCCUUCCACAUUAUAUGCAAAAUUGAAUCACAAGGCCAACCAGCCCCCACUCUAUGCCAAGUUGUCUCCCUUUCCUAACACUUUCCCUUAGAUUUUCCAAUUUCCACUCUAAUUAAACUCUCUUGAAUUGUCUUCUUCUUCUUCCAAGAUUUGCAACAACUUAGACAAGAAUCUUUUUUGCUUCACAAGUCACAAAGACAGCACAGAUAGAUCUCCUUUGUGCUGUCCAGUUGACCAAAAAAAAAAAAAAAAAAAAAAAAAAGACAAAUUAUUAAGAUUAAAAAAUUAAUCUGAUUUCUUCAAAAAUUAGCAAGAAAAGUCUGCUAGUAUAAAAGGCACAUUCAUUGCCAUGCAGGUUCUUCAGUGGUUAUUCAAGGUAGCAAAUGAUCAAAAACAGGCUGAUCUCUCCAAUCAGGUAAGGGAACCAUCAAAAGAGGUCUUAGUUUCUUACAAGAGAAAAAGAGAUGUUAACAAGGUUCGAAAACCCGAAGAAACGUCCUUAGACUGUAAGAACUUGAGGUACAUAGGUUUGUUACUCAGGAGAGGUAACUCAAGAACAUAUUUUUCUAGGACACUUAAUCAGAAUAGAUUAAGCAGCCUUAGCCCGAGGCUAACACAGCAACAACGACGAUACAUUCUAUCAAUGAAGAUGAAGGAAGAUCUGAUUCGCGGUGUAGGGAAAAAUAAUCAGAAGGUGGAUCUAAAUUCACAUGUUGGGAAUAAGGUCUUGCCAAUUAGUGAUUCGACGAAUUCAUCAUCAACAACAACAACAAGCAGCAAUGCAGAUAAGAAGCAGCAUUGUAGACAGUCUGAUCAGAAGAAAGACAGAUCUAAUAAAGGAGAUGGUAAUAAAAAUAAGACGAUUUCGAGGAUGAAGGAGCUUCUGAGAUGGGCUGCUGCUGCUAAAUCUGAAAAAGGAGGGAAAUUCGGAAAAAAGGUGAUGCACUUCAGGAAUAAAUCAGCGACGGUAAAGUCAGGAGAUUUUGAUGAUGAAAUAACAAAUGAAUCUCCAAAGAUUAGUAUAGCAUGGGAAGUACAGAGUUGUUCCACUACUUGUUCUGCAGCUUCAGCUCCUCCUUCGAUCAAGUACGACGAAUGUGCUCGUAAGACAGGGAGUUGGAUCACAACUGAUGAUGAAUUUGUUGUGCUAGAGCUAUGAAGAGCGGACAAAAGAGGCAAAUCGAGGAUUAGCUUAAAUAAGAUCCAAGGUUAAUUAUUCAAUGCCCGUAAAAGAAACCCUAAAUAAAAGGGUUUCUAUCGUUGUCGCUCUCCCAUUCUACCUACCUCCUUCGUUAUUUUCAUUCAUCACAUUUAAAUCUUGAAGCAAUUGUAAUUUGGGGACAACAUUAUUCAACAUCUUUAAUUUUAAGAUUCAAUUGAGGUAAUUUGUUAGUUUUUUUCAAUAUUAAUCUCUCUUUUCAUUAAACUAAAACGUAACCCUAAAAAACCCUAACCCUAAUCUCCACAUGCAUUUGUCAAGUAAUUCUAUUCUUCUCCCUCGUAAUGCUUCUUCAUUGUUAUGAAUUGUUGAUGUUAUUUCAAUUUUUGCAAUUUCUGAUUUUUUUUAUUAGUUUAUAUAAAAUCUUGGUGAAAGUGCUCCAUACCACGAUACUACUGUGUGAUUUGCUACUUUAUUACUUGUUAUUAGUCAAUUCUUAUAAUUUUUUGUUUUUUUUUAUUGAUUUUUAGUCAAUUAGAGUAUAGAUAAAUGCAUAUGAGGCUUUUAUAAUUUCGAAUCAAUUUCUUAAUUGACAGUAUAAUGUCACUCUUCAUCUAAUUCUGUUCACCAUUGCAUUGUACUAGGACGUUUAAUUAAUGGACUUAGUUUGUAAUAAAAAAAACUUGCAAUUUUUCAAUAAUAAUAUAAAUACCAAUAUUAGUAUUAUACUAAUUUGUGUUUUAUUUCUUUUUGGAUUCAAUCCCACCCCCCUGAUCUAUUAGUAUUUUUUUUAUUAGUUUAUAUAAAAUCUUGGUAAAAACAUUCUUUAAUUUCCGUGAGCAUUUAGACGUGAAUUACAAUUUUCAAAUUCGAUCAACUAUUUUACUUAAAUUCUUGACUUUGUCAUUGUUGGGUAGAGUUCUCAUUCCGUACCUCUUUAAUAUUUUUGUUUAAUUUUCAGAUUUUGCAAAUUACCUAUUAUAUGGUCUGAGUUUAUUGUUUCUUUGUCAAAGAAACUAAUCGAUGGAUUUGAAUUUGACUCCUUCAAAACAACAUGCUCACAAUUGUACAGAGAAUAUUUGCAUCAAGAACUGAUUGUGGCAUGUACAUCUUAAAGUAUGUUGCAGCUGAAAAUAAAUCAGAUUGGUCAAAAAUAUUCUAUACGACGGCAUUCAUGGGAAUUGAACGACUUAAGUAUUUGGCAAAACUCAUCACUAGCGAAUUUAAUGAAGCUACACUAUUUAAGCGUGCUAUUUUGGGAGAUGCAUCCAUUGAUCUCAAGCAGCUAUCUUGAUUUUUUUUUUUUUUUUUUGAAUGGAGCAGCUAUCUUGAUUUAUCUCAUGUAUUAUUGACUUAUUGUUGAAUGGUGUUAUUCUAUAAUUGCCACUUUUUUAUUUUACAUUAAUAAUAUAACUGAGGUUAUAGUGGAAUAAGUAAUACGAGUAGGAGGUAAUAUGAGAGAUAUUAAAGAAAUCAAACAAUAAGCUAUCCAAUCUAAUAUCAUCAAAUAGGAGGUGAAUAGGAGUAGCACCAUUGUUCAAGCACGUAAUUGCUUUCACCACUUUUGUAAAAUCACUUUCCACCCACACAUUUGUAUAUCUAAGUCUUCUGGCAAUCUGCAUACCAUUUUUCAUGCCUAUGACCCUCCAUACGACACACUAACUUCUUUGAUAUUACAUGCCCAUCUUUUCUACUCUUAGUUGUUGCAUCCUUUCGUACUCCGAAACCUUUGACUUUUGCAUAUGUAUAAUAAAAUUCAAUACAAUCUUCUAACGACUUCCACCUGAGCAUAUCCAUAUCAUCUUCAUCAUAGUCUUCUAAGUUUUUUCCAAUUUUGUCCCAUGUUUGCUCAUUAAUAAAGUGAUCAAUUGUCUUUUCUUCAUGUAC
RNA transcript from Chenopodium quinoa (quinoa), 3156 nucleotides. RefSeq lists it as uncharacterized. The record is from RefSeq and is a predicted model, not a curated record. The transcript has 8 exons. Lineage: Eukaryota; Viridiplantae; Streptophyta; Magnoliopsida; Caryophyllales; Amaranthaceae.